GAUGAACGCUGGCGGCGUGCCUAAUACAUGCAAGUCGAGCGAACAGACGAGGAGCUUGCUCCUCUGACGUUAGCGGCGGACGGGUGAGUAACACGUGGAUAACCUACCUAUAAGACUGGGAUAACUUCGGGAAACCGGAGCUAAUACCGGAUAAUAUAUUGAACCGCAUGGUUCAAUAGUGAAAGACGGUUUUGCUGUCACUUAUAGAUGGAUCCGCGCCGCAUUAGCUAGUUGGUAAGGUAACGGCGUACCAAGGGAACAAUGCGUAGCCGACCUGAGAGGGUGAUCGGCCACACCGAAACUGAGACACGGUCCAGACUCCUACGGGAGGCAGCAGUAGGGAAUCUUCCGCAAUGGGCGAAAGCCUGACGGAGCAGCGCCGCGUGAGUGAUGAAGGUCUUCGGAUCGUAAAACUCUGUUAUUAGGGAAGAACAAAUGUGUAAGUAACUAUGCACGUCUUGACGGUACCUAAUCAGAAAGCCACGGCUAACUACGUGCCAGCCGCCGCAGUAA
Molecule: ribosomal RNA, 513 nt
Filed under: uncultured bacterium
Lineage: Bacteria
Description: partial 16S ribosomal RNA
Rfam family: Bacterial small subunit ribosomal RNA
Source: RNAcentral